This is a long non-coding RNA of Drosophila montana, 392 nucleotides long. RefSeq lists it as uncharacterized. The record is from RefSeq and is a predicted model, not a curated record. The transcript has 3 exons. Lineage: Eukaryota; Metazoa; Arthropoda; Insecta; Diptera; Drosophilidae.
CUUCAGAUAUUUACAUUGAAGUCCAUCGUACCGAAAGAAUCGUCAUCACUAAACCGAAUUUUCGAAAGAUUAUUCCGUGAGCCGUGAACUAGGGUCAUCGAUGGAUCGAUUAGAUCGAAUCCAAGAUCAGAGGCUGGAAGGAUGCUGGGUAAAAUAAUACCCUUAAUAUUUCUGAAACUAACGGGACGAUUCGAUGUCCGUGAUAUUACACUGAGAUAUGCCCUUUACUUCUGCUGGAAGUAUUUUCGUUGUUUAAUUUGAUUGAAGGAUUUAAGGACUCUAAUCGAUUCUAAGGACUUUUACGAAUCUAACGAGGCUAAUCCUUCCAGGAUCGGACGUAUUUUAAGCCUGAUAUAGCCAUUUGUUAAGUUAAAAUCAAAAAUAAAGUUAGU